AUGCACAAACACACAAAUACCCUAAGCCCUAAAUCAAACCCAAAAUCCCAUUUUUAUUCACAGAUUACAAGAUGGUUACAAGUGGGACAUGAAAUAGAAUUUGCAAACAGAAACGAAAAGGGAAAAAACUCAGGUACGGUACUCCAAUUGAUACUCUUUCGUGAUUCUUCAUCCAAAAUUUCCUGA
Vicia faba (fava bean) is the source of this 186-nucleotide non-coding RNA. NCBI's taxonomy places the organism in Eukaryota, Viridiplantae, Streptophyta, Magnoliopsida, Fabales, Fabaceae. The record is from the annotation of a GenBank genome assembly.